UCUAUGGGAAGCGUCGGACAACUCAAAAACCUCGGUUUCUUAAAGAGACUUUCCCCCCCUCUUACCAUAUUCUUUAUCAAAUUUUAUCAAUCAUUUUUCUCUUUAAACAAUAGACAUUAGUCUCCACCAUUUUCUUAAUUAUUAUCUGCUAUUUUUUUUCAACUCUUACAGAAGAACUAACCAAAAAAAAAAAAAAAAAUGGAUAUCCAAGCUUUAUAUUCAAGAACCUGACAAAAACUUAUCAAGAAAGCUCUUACCAAUGUAUAAUUUUCAUCUAUGAGAGAAUGUUUCGUUAUCUUAUUAAUUGUGUGAUGGUCCAUAAACUGCAACUAUGUAUAGACCAUUAUCA
This 349-nucleotide long non-coding RNA is filed under the name Capsella rubella. RNAcentral describes it as "long non-coding RNA (CRUB_LNC004731)". Lineage: Eukaryota; Viridiplantae; Streptophyta; Magnoliopsida; Brassicales; Brassicaceae. The record is from RNAcentral.